Tyto alba (common barn owl) is the source of this 1045-nucleotide long non-coding RNA. RefSeq lists it as uncharacterized. NCBI's taxonomy places the organism in Eukaryota, Metazoa, Chordata, Aves, Strigiformes, Tytonidae. The transcript is spliced from 3 exons. The record is from RefSeq and is a predicted model, not a curated record.
UCGGCGGCGCGGCGGGGCCCGGCCUCUUUCUGUGCCCGCCGCCGUGGGGGCGGGCUGCCAGGAGGUGAGGUGAGGGGCGCCGGGCCGCCUCCCGCCCGCCAUGAGGGGAGGUGAGGGGCGCCGGGCCGCUUCCCGCCCGCCAUGAGGGGAGGUGAGGGGCGCCGGGCCGCUUCCCGCCCGCCAUGAGGGGAGGUGAGGGGCGCCGGGCCGCUUCCCGCCCGCCAUGAGGGGAGGUGAGGGGCGCCGGGCCGCUUCCCGCCCGCCAUGAGGUGAGGGGCACCGGGGCUGGAGGUCUGGGGCGCCUCACUCCUCCCCAGGGCUCUGGAAACGGAAAACGUCACGUGAAAUAGUCCCUGGGGGUUUUCUGUGUGUGUUUUUUUUUGUUUGCUUGUGUUUUUUUGGUUGGUUGGUUGUUGGGUUUUUUUGUUGUUAACGGCUGAAAGGCGGUCAUGCAUAGCCACCUGCGCUGGCUGAUAACCUCUGAGGCCCUGGGACCGGGCUUACAGCUGACCCGCAGCCUCAGCGUGCGCAGGGGGAUCACGGUGACUCGAGGUCCUGGGUGGCAGAGCGGUGUGGAAGAUGCAGCCCUCACAGAACCGGCCCUCACCCGUGGCCUUCGGUUGUGAAACCCCCCGAGUUUUGCAGUAGCGUGACCCGUGCUGGGGGAGAUGUAAAGGAAUAACCUGCCCGUGAGGCACGGGGAGAGCUUCAGGACGCUUUCAAGGCAAAUAAUUUGCAUGUUUUGCUGCAUUUGGGGGCUUGCUGGAGCAGCAGUAGUUGUCAGAAGAAAAGGAAGAAGCUGUUGGUGCUGCUGUGGAGAUCCCCAUUUGAAAGAGACUGAGAAGAUGGAAACUUACAGUCCACAAUUUAAAUGGGGCUGGUAGAGAAGUGCUUGUAACUUGGAACAUCAAAGGUGGUUGUGGGCAAGGUGUAACAAGAAUUACAUAUACAAUCUGUUAAUUAUUAAUCCCCUCUCACUACUUGUUUAAAAUUAUAUUUUUUUUCUGUGACCUCUAUUUAUUAAACUUAUUUAUAUUUAAACUUG